CAUAGCGUAAUGAAGCGAACCGGGGGAACUGAAACAUCUAAGUACCCCGAGGAAAAGAAAUCAACCGAGAUUCCCCCAGUAGCGGCGAGCGAACGGGGAGCAGCCCAGAGUCUGAAUCAGCUUGUGUGUUAGUGGAACGGUCUGGAAAGUCCGACGGUACAGGGUGAUAGUCCCGUACACCAAAAUGCACAGGUUGUGAACUCGAAGAGUAGGGCGGGACACGUGGUAUCCUGUCUGAAUAUGGGGGGACCAUCCUCCAAGGCUAAAUACUCCUGACUGACCGAUAGUGAACCAGUACCGUGAGGGAAAGGCGAAAAGAACCCCGGCGAGGGGAGUGAAAAAGAACCUGAAACCGUGUACGUACA
This 365-nucleotide ribosomal RNA is filed under the name Citrobacter freundii. Its description in RNAcentral is "partial 23S ribosomal RNA". It matches the Rfam family "Bacterial large subunit ribosomal RNA", at positions 165 to 568 of the family's 2925-position model. Lineage: Bacteria; Pseudomonadati; Pseudomonadota; Gammaproteobacteria; Enterobacterales; Enterobacteriaceae. The record is from RNAcentral.